AAAGAUAGCAGAAACAUGAGUAAGAUUACCAGCUAUGUGCGGAGCAUGAGCACAUAAAUAUUUGAAGCCUAACCAGUAUACACUGGAAUAUUUUUGCACGCGUGUCUCAGCUUUAGAAAAUGUAGGUCAAGACUGGGAAAAAAAAGGUUCUGCAAAUGGUGGAAUUAUUCUUUGGUGCAAGAUUAUGCCAGUGCUCAGAAAUUUAUGUAUGGACAUAGGUGGU
Molecule: unclassified non-coding RNA, 223 nt
Filed under: Hevea brasiliensis (rubber tree)
Lineage: Eukaryota; Viridiplantae; Streptophyta; Magnoliopsida; Malpighiales; Euphorbiaceae
Source: RNAcentral